RNAcentral lists this ribosomal RNA (459 nucleotides) under Triticum aestivum (bread wheat). RNAcentral's name for it is "partial small subunit ribosomal RNA". Lineage: Eukaryota; Viridiplantae; Streptophyta; Magnoliopsida; Poales; Poaceae. The record is from RNAcentral.
AUGAGCAUGGACCCGGAACUCGCGCUCCACCUCGAGAUCGCCGCGGUGGUCCUGAUGGCGGUGAUCAUCGUCGCCGUGGCCGUGUUGGCCUCCGGCGUAGCCUGCGACGACGUGGCCGGCGCCGCCGCGGUGCACGCCGCCGACGUCGAGAGCGCCCUCGGCGACGCCACUCUCAUGACGUACGCUCAGGCGACCGCCGGGAAGAAGGAGAAGGGGAAGGAGGAGGAGCGGUGCGCCAUCUGCCAGUGGGAGUACGGCGAGGGCGACGCCGGCGAGCUGGUGCGGGUGGUGCCGGCCUGCGGCCACUUCUACCACGCGAGCUGCGACGUCGACCGCUGGCUCCGGAAGCGCCAUACGUGCCCGCUCUGCCGCGGAGGGCUCGGGCCGCCGCUGCCGCUGCCGGCGCUGCCACGGCCGGAGUGCCCGCCGAUGCCGGCGCGGAUGCUGUCUUCAGCUUAG